GGCUCAGGAUGAACGCUAGCGGCAGGCUUAAUACAUGCAAGUCGUGGGGCAGCAUGAGUAGCAAUACUUGAUGGCGACCGGCAAACGGGUGAGGAACACGUACAUAACCUUCCUUCAAGCGGGGAAUAGCCCAGAGAAAUUUGGAUUAAUACCCCAUAAUAUAUUUGAUAAGGCAUCUUAUUAAUAUUAAAGCUUCGGCACUUGAUGAUGGGUGUGCGGCUGAUUAGAUAGUUGGCGGGGUAACGGCCCACCAAGUCUACGAUCAGUAGCUGAUGUGAGAGCAUGAUCAGCCACACGGGCACUGAGACACGGGCCCGACUCCUACGGGAGGCAGCAGUAAGGAAUAUUGGACAAUGGACGAAAGUCUGAUCCAGCCAUGCCGCGUGAAGGAUUAAGGUCCUCUGGAUUGUAAACUUCUUUUAUAUGGGACGAAAAAGGGCAUUCUUGUUCACUUGACGGUACCAUAUGAAUAAGCACCGGCUAACUCCGUG
RNAcentral lists this ribosomal RNA (491 nucleotides) under uncultured bacterium. Its description in RNAcentral is "bacterial SSU rRNA". It matches the Rfam family "Bacterial small subunit ribosomal RNA", at positions 21 to 507 of the family's 1533-position model. The record is from RNAcentral.